Orcinus orca (killer whale) is the source of this 1060-nucleotide long non-coding RNA. RefSeq lists it as uncharacterized. The transcript is spliced from 2 exons. The record is from RefSeq and is a predicted model, not a curated record. Lineage: Eukaryota; Metazoa; Chordata; Mammalia; Artiodactyla; Delphinidae.
AAUGUGAAUUAGAAGAAGCAGAAUCAGAUCAUCAAGUGAUCUGAAUGGCGAAGGCAGCAGCCUUCCCAAAGGAAAUGGUACAAACUCAGAAGUCAAGGAAAUGUUGUCGUGAGCAGGGAACCCAACCAAGGAAAAAUUCACUCCACAUUUUACAGGAGUUACAAGACUGGUGAGGAAAGCUGGGUUCUUGGCUGACGUUUGUAUUGAGCUGAUCACCAAGAGCAACACGUGCAUGACUAACAACCCCAUAAUAGGCCCUUCCUUACGAGCUGUAAUGGGAGCUGUGCUGACAGAUGUGACGGGUGUUCUCAGCAAUCCUUGGGGAGUGACAACUGCAGAGCUCACACACAAGAACAGGGAAGUGAUGCUCUGCUAACGGCAAAUACAUCAAAAAAGUUGAGCGUGGUCUUCCUGAUGCCACUCAGAGACAAAGGAGAGCCACCAGCAUCUGUGAUGGCUCUGAAUCAGCGGAAGGCAAAUGGAGCUGACCGUGAGGCCAGGAGAGAAGGCUUCUGCAGCACAUCCCCUCUCCACAGGUCCCAAAGGAAUCCACCAACGGCUAGCCAUAUCUCUGCAAGAGCUCGGAAACGAAGAUGGGAAAGAACAGCUCCGUGUCUCAAAAUGUGCCACCUCUGAUUAAAAAUGGAUACCUACGGGGAAGAAUUCCCAAAAUGUAGACUAGAGAGAGCUGGAGACUUUUUAAACAGUUAUUCCCCAAGUUGUUUUUUCUUUGUGACAGUAUCUUACGUUUACAGUUUUGUUUAGAAAACACUUUCACUCUCUUUGUUCUAUGUAGUCCUCACACUAAGCUGUGGAGAUGGAUAUUAUCGAUAGUGUUAUUAUACCCAUGUAAGAGCUGAAGAAACGGAAGCUCAGAGUGACACACAGUCACCAGCAGGACUGUGACACCUGACUCUCAGCUCACCCUCUCCGUGUACACAGCCCAACAGCAAGCUCCCCGAGUGCAGAACCAUGGCUUCUAUUUCCCUUAGUGCCUAACCUACUGCUCCAAAUGGACACUCAUGAGUGCUUCCUGAUUAAACUACCUUAUUUGUUCCUA